GACGAACGCUGGCGGCGUGCUUAACACAUGCAAGUCGAACGGAAAGGCCCUGCUUUUGUGGGGUGCUCGAGUGGCGAACGGGUGAGUAACACGUGAGUAACCUGCCCUUGACUUUGGGAUAACUUCAGGAAACUGGGGCUAAUACCGGAUAGGAGCUCCUGCUGCAUGGUGGGGGUUGGAAAGUUUCGGCGGGUGGGGAUGGACUCGCGGCUUAUCAGCUUGUGGGUGGGGUAGUGGCUUACCAAGGCUUUGGCGGGUAGCCGGCCUGGGGGGGUGGCCGGCCACAUUGGGCCUGAGGUACGGCCCAGACUCCUACGGGGGGCAGCAGUGGGGAAUCUUGCACAAUGGGCGGACGCCUGAUGCAGCAACGCCGCGUGCGGGAUGACGGCCUUCGGGUUGUAAACCGCUUUCGCCUGUGACGAAGCGUGAGUGACGGUAAUGGGUAAAGAAGCACCGGCUAACUACGUG
RNAcentral lists this ribosomal RNA (468 nucleotides) under uncultured bacterium. Its description in RNAcentral is "partial 16S ribosomal RNA". It matches the Rfam family "Bacterial small subunit ribosomal RNA", at positions 28 to 507 of the family's 1533-position model. The record is from RNAcentral.